GAUGAACGCUAGCGGCAGGCCUAACACAUGCAAGUCGAGGGGUAACAUUGGUGCUUGCACCAGAUGACGACCGGCGCACGGGUGCGUAACGCGUAUACAAUCUGCCUUGUACUGGGGGAUAGCCUUUGGAAACGAAGAUUAACACCCCAUGGUCUAUGGAUCUGGCAUCAUUUCCAUAGUAAAGGUCACGGUACAAGAUGAGUAUGCGUCCUAUUAGCUUGUUGGUGUGGUAACGGCACACCAAGGCUUCGAUAGGUAGGGGCCCUGAGAGGGGGAUCCCCCACACUGGUACUGAGACACGGACCAGACUCCUACGGGAGGCAGCAGUGAGGAAUAUUGGACAAUGGGGGCAACCCUGAUCCAGCCAUGCCGCGUGCAGGAAGACUGCCCUAUGGGUUGUAAACUGCUUUUGUACGGGAAGAAACACCCCCACGUGUGGGGGCUUGACGGUACCGUAAGAAUAAGGAUCGGCUAACUCCG
RNAcentral lists this ribosomal RNA (480 nucleotides) under uncultured Flavobacteriaceae bacterium. RNAcentral describes it as "bacterial SSU rRNA". It matches the Rfam family "Bacterial small subunit ribosomal RNA", at positions 28 to 505 of the family's 1533-position model. Lineage: Bacteria; Pseudomonadati; Bacteroidota; Flavobacteriia; Flavobacteriales; Flavobacteriaceae. The record is from RNAcentral.